RNAcentral lists this ribosomal RNA (269 nucleotides) under Rickettsia slovaca. Lineage: Bacteria; Pseudomonadati; Pseudomonadota; Alphaproteobacteria; Rickettsiales; Rickettsiaceae. The record is from RNAcentral.
CUGUGAGAUUACAUAUGCAUAUAGUGUUAAUGCUAUAAGAGUGUAGUAUCUACUCACAAAGUUAUCAGGUUAAAUAGUUUUAUCAACUAAUAAAAAUGUUAUUGCAUAACUAAUGUUAUACUGUAGCCCCUGCCACGAUAUCCAGCGAAAAUUAUUUUGCUGAGUAUUGUAGUAAAAGUUAAGAUAUGAUGUUGAGAAUUUUUUUGAGUUGUGCAACAACAUUAACAGCAAACUAUAAUACAAAUCUAUCUUUUUAAAAGUUUGUAUUG